This 204-nucleotide long non-coding RNA is filed under the name Carica papaya (papaya). RNAcentral describes it as "long non-coding RNA (CPAP_LNC002755)". Lineage: Eukaryota; Viridiplantae; Streptophyta; Magnoliopsida; Brassicales; Caricaceae. The record is from RNAcentral.
CUAGUAGAAUCCAUGCGUCUUCACAUGGUGUGCUGCGUGUGUGCAACGUGCCAAGGGAUUAUGUCCUGACGCUAAUGGGUGCCUAGACUACGGGCACAAACCACAUGGUAGAGUCGUAUCCUACCUCUCUUCUUGGCGUUGGGUUUUUUCCUUUAGAUAGCAUUUUGAGAUCUAUACAAAUGGAAGCGAUGUCUAUUUCUCCAU